Long non-coding RNA from Theobroma cacao (cacao), 534 nucleotides. RefSeq lists it as uncharacterized. The record is from RefSeq and is a predicted model, not a curated record. NCBI's taxonomy places the organism in Eukaryota, Viridiplantae, Streptophyta, Magnoliopsida, Malvales, Malvaceae.
UGUAAAUCUAAUCAUAUUCCUUUCCCCUUGUAUUUUCCUUUUACCCAAUGAGGAAAUGAAGAAAAGAAACACUAUUUUCCUAUCACACAAUUUCUUUCUUUCCUCUUUCCCUCCUUCUUUUUCUCUCGCUUUUAGUGUCUAAAAGGUUCUCUUAUUUUUUUUUUUUGAUCCAUUCUCUCCUUCUUUCUUCUACUCCUUUGCUUUGUUCUAGAGUGUGUCCAAUUGUCAUAGGUAUGGUUUUUUCGUUUUUUUCUACUACCAUGCUUCUAGAUUUUUGCCUUGCAAUCUGGGUUUUUCUACCUACCAUCUUUCUUCAGGAUUUUUGUAGAAGUUGCCAUACAAGUAAAGAAGAAAACUCUCUUAUCUUCGUGGUGAUUAUCCAUUGUUAUUGAUUUUUUUAUACAUGAAUUUUUCUUUUUUAUAAGUUGAUGUGGUUUUUGGACUAAUUUGCUGAAAUAUCAUUGAUUAAUGUUGCUUUGUUUUGUUGUACAAUCUUGAAUUUUAUAAGUUUAAGAUGGUUUCCAAGUACAAUUA